Molecule: long non-coding RNA, 643 nt
Organism: Dama dama (fallow deer)
Lineage: Eukaryota; Metazoa; Chordata; Mammalia; Artiodactyla; Cervidae
Exons: 2
Source: RefSeq, a predicted model, not a curated record
AGGGAAGAUGAAGAAUGCGGUCCCCAAUCUCAGGACCCGCUCCAGAACCUAAUCCAUCAGUCAAGACUGGACAUUUAUAACUUUAAAACAUACUCUGUGAAAUGGACUUCCCUGAUGGUCCAGUGAUGAAGAAUCCGCCUGCCAAUGCAGGGGAUACAGGUUCGAUCCUCAGUCCAGGAAGAUCUCACAUGCCUUUGGGCAAAUAAGCCUGUGUGCCACAACUACGGAGCUAGAUUUCGUGAGCUAGAGCCCAUGAGCUGCAGCUACUGAACCAUGCGCCUACAGCCCAUGCUCUGCAACGAGAAGCCCCCGCAAUGAGAAGCCUGCGCACUGCAGCUAGAGAGUAGCCCCUGCUCGCUACAAUUAGAGAAAGCCUGCAGUAAUGAAGACCCAGUGCAGCCAUAAAUAAAUUUUCUAAAAAAUCUCUUAAAAAUGUUUUAAAAUAUACUCUGUGAAAUGAUACAAAAUCUGGUAUUUGUUUUAAAAUAACUUAGCUUAGGGUGGAGGGGGCGGAGGGGAGUACAUAGACGAAGACUGGCUGGGUAUUCACUGUACACCCGUGGGUUCCCUCUGUUACUGUUACUUCAGUGGAGAGUUGAAAUUUCUCAUAAUAAAAAGCUUUUUCAUUUUUUCCUAAAAUCGA